CAAAGGCAGGGCAGAAUUAGAAUCCAAUUAUCUUACCUGUUCAGUGUCUUUAAUGAUACAGCAAGCUCACCACUGUUUCUCUUUACUCUUUAAACAGUGGAUUUUUUUUGUCAUGAUUUUGAUUUCUUGUAUAAUGCAGUUCAAUACUUGUUUAAUUUUAAUGUUGGACUCUCAAUUUUUAAGACAGUAGUACACAUGAAAUGUGCUUUAUAUUUUAUGUUUCAACAAGAAAAUACACAUUUUCCUUUUAAUAGAGGAGCUUAAGUUCCUAAUUUAAAUAAUUGAGUAUGAGCUUCAGAUACUUCAGAGUGGUAUUAAUAAACUUUGCUUUUCCAAAUGGUUUCAGAUAAGCAUUUAAUAUUCAAAGCUUCCUCUUUACAGCUUAGGAAGUGGUCUGGUUAAGUGACUUGAGUUCAUACAGGAAUAUAUCGGUAUGUUCCUAAUUCCCAUCAAGUGUACCAUUAUGUAAUCAUAUAAUCUUGCUAACAGAUCUAACAGAUUACUUUUUUUUUUUUUUUUUUUUUGAGACAGAGCCUUGCUCUGUCGCCCAGGCUGGAGUGCAGUGGCGCGAUCUCUACUCACUGUAACCUCCGCCUCCCAGGUUCAAGCAAUUCUUCUGCCUCGGCCUCCCAAGUAGCUGGGACUACAGGCAGGCACUACCACACCCGGCUAAUUUUUGUAUGUUUAGUAGAGACGGGGUUUCACCAUGUUGGCCAGGCUGGUCUGGAACUCUUGACCUCAAGUGAUCCGUCUGCCUCUGCCUCCCAAAGUGCUGGGAUUAUAGGAGUGAGCCACUAUGCCUGUCCUCUAGGGAAAAUCUUUAAUUCAUUCUGGACAAUGAGAAAACUUUUAUUUUUACUUUUAGUUAACAAUACUCAGGAAAAUAAAAAGUGUGCUUUUUAAUCUUAGUAACCCAAUUUGAGUUUGAAACAAAUUUACAUAAUUUUAGCUGCUUAAUAUGCUGCUGAAGAUAAAUGCAGUAAAUAUCCCAAGGUCAAGAUUUGAAAUCCAAAUGUCCAUAGUAAUGAUUAACAGGAAAAGAGAGUCCUCUGUUAACUUUAUUUCUCAAUUUUUUACAGGUUUGGAUAAUUAAGGGAGCACUAGAAAACUUUUUUUUUUUUUUUUGAGAUGGAGUCUGUUGCCCAGGCUGGAGUACAGUGGUACGGUCUCGACUCACUGCAAUCUCCGCUCCUGGGUUCAAGUGAUUUCUCUUGCCUCAGUCUCCUGACUAGCUGGGAUUUACAGGCGCAUGCCACCAUGCCCAGCUAAUUUUUGUAUUUUUAUUAGAGACGGGUUUCAUCAUGUUGGUCAGGCUGGUCUCAAACUCCUGACCUCGUGAUCCACCCGCCUCGGCCUCCCAAAGUGCUGGGAUUACAGGUGUGAGCCACCGUGCCCAGCCGAAAAUGUUUCUUUGCAAGGAUAAAUAUAUGAAGAUAAACUUGCCGAGCGUAAAUAUGUUCAUGAAUAUAGCCACUUAAGGAAAUUCAAACAUGCAGAGAUGUUCAGCUGUAUGCAGUUAUGUAUUCAUGAAGUAUUCAUGUAUUCAUGAAGCCUUAUUUGAUGUAGAAUCUGAGGGUGCUGCCUAUACAUAAACUUGCUUAAAGGUUAAAACUUAAGGAAUGUUCAUCAAAGUCACUUUCUUACACCUAACUCCUGAUUUCAUGAAUAUAACACAUAGGUGCUUAUCAAACUGAAUACCUUGGAGAUGAGCUGCUCCAGCACCAGAAGAUAAAAUUCAGUAACUGUAAUCCUUGAGGUACCUAAGUGAUACAUUUUUUUUAAGACUGAGCCAAAAUAAAACAGCUUUCCUCCUUCCCUACCCUCUCCGACCAAACUUUUAGCCAUUUUAUUUAUUUAUUUAUUUGAGAUGGGGUCUAGCCAUGUGGAGUGCAGUGGCUAUUCACAAGCAUGAUCAUAGCAAAUGACAGCCACAGACUCCUGGGUUCGAGCAAUCCUGCCUCAGCCACUCAAGUAACUAGGACUACAGGCGUAUACUGGGGCUUCUAGCCAUUUAUAUGGUAUUAAGUGACAGCUUCUAUAGUUACUUGGUACUUGUCCCUGUAAAACUGCACAGUGUGUAUUCUCUUGGCUCAAUUAUUAGCAUAUUCUGCCAUUUCCUUGUGAAUGUUUUGUAUUUUAUAUAGGAAAACUUAAGUUUUUAAAUAUCCUGAAAUAACUGAAGAAUUUUGUUUUUGCCUUUAAGUGGUAAUGUAUAAAGUAUACUAUUGCAGAGAUACUUACAGAGUGCUUUCAUUGCAAUUAAAAUACUGCAGCUAACUAGCAUGUUCCAUAUGUGUAAUCUAAAUGACAUACUGGUCAUGUGCUAUUUCUAUGGAAUACUAACAGUAGUAUGGUACAUUUAUGCAGUCUCAACAGUUUAAAGUGUUAUUUUGGUGAUAAACUGUUUACAUUUAUUUGUUUUUAUAUUUGGCAGUCUAAAUGCAAGAGUCUCCAUUUCAGCUCUUUACUCUGCAUAUCUUUAAUGUUGGGCAUUAUGCCUCUUUCUUGAGUUUCAGUCCUAUGACUGUUCCAUUUUCAGUAUUCAUGUUUAUGUGUCUUUCUAAAAUUGUUUUGCUUCUGUUUCUUGCUGCUCUUGAGACAAUUUAUGGGCAAAUUUUGUUACUUUUCAACUGGCCGUGUAUUUCCCUGUGAAGAGUUGCUGGAUUGUCUCAUUUUCCAGAUAAACUGAAUUAAUGUAGUAGUGAGGAGAAGCCAGAUUUCAGAGGUUUGACAAGUGAACAAAUGGGAAUGAGAAAAGAAGUAGGUACUUAAACUUUUAAGAAGUUUGGCUCUGAAAAAGGCAAGAAAUAAUGGGUUAGAGAGGGCAGGAUUGUAAGGAUUUAAGAUAGGAGAAGAGGCAUAAGCAUAUUUAAAUUUCCCUACUUAAGGGCCAAAAUCAUACUGUACCUCAGUCUGAACUUUUUAAAGGAAUUCAAGGACACAAAAUUCUGCCCUGCCCUGAAAUCCAGUCAGGAGGAAGGGAGAAGAGCUCUGAAGUACUUUUGUAAUUUUCUUCUACAUAAUAAUUGAUUUUUGUUUGAUUAUUUUUCUUUCCUAUAGCUCCUGUUUGCCAGGUUUUUCAUAGCUGCCUAUUUAACCAAACUUGUACUCCCAAGAAUAGUGCAUAUUUAUGAUUCUUAAUUCCAAAAACACAUGGCAAUGAUAAUGUCUCUGCUUCUUUUGAGAAAUUAACUUGGUUCUGAAAGAUGGUGUUUGCUUUUCACACCUGUAUCAUUAAUACUUCCUUGCCAAACCUAACUAGGAUCCUCACCACCACUGUUAGAGAAAACUGAUGCUCAGUUGAACCAGAAUGUUAAAUGUGAACAGGAUUUGUCUGUGUUGUUGCCCAGCUAUGUUUAUCCAUACACAUUACCUGGAGGAAGAGAAAUCUGAGAUAAUUGAGUUGAUUAGAUUACUUACAUGAAGAUGGUUUAAUUGUAUCAAUACAGAAAAAUGCACAAGGAAAGAAACUGACACCUUAAGGCAACAAAGCCCUCCAUAAAAAGUAACCGAAUUUUGAGAGUUACGAACUAAUGUCCAUUACCUGAAGUCCUUCUCAUUCCAUUACCCAGUAACAUAAAUCAAAUUCAGUAAAUAAGCUGCUUUAUGUCUUGAGAAAUUUAACUGGCAGAAUAAAUGGAAAGAAGUCAGUAAAAAGGGAGCAGUUGAACAAGCAUGGUGUCUCACACCAAUAACCCCAGCACUUUGGGAGGCCGAGGCAGGCGGAUCACGAGAUCAGGAGAUCGAGACCAUCCUGGCCAACAUGCUGAAACUCCAUCUCUACUAAAAUACAAAAACUUAGCCAGGCAUGCUGGCAUGCGCUUGUAGUCCCAGCUACUCGGGAGGCUGAGGCAGGGGAAUCACUUGAACCCAGGAGGCGGAGGUUGCAGUACAGUGAGCCAAGAUCGCGCCACUGUACUCCAGCCUGGUGACAGAGCAAGACUGUCUCAAAAAAAAAAAAAAGGAAGCUUUUGAAUAAGAAGCAACUCUACAGUACUCUAUUGUAGACAACCAAAGUAUUAAUAUUUGGGGGGCACAAUUUCAACCAACUUUAAAUUAUUUCAUUCUGGAAGUAUGUGUUGAGUAAAUAUGAAGUAUAAGGCCCCUAGAGGUACAGAUGGCUAUGGCCGUCUAAACCAUUUUACUCUUAACUUUUAGUGUCAUGGACCUCUUUGUCAAUCUAGUGAAGUCUAUGGACCGCUUUUUUUUAAAAAAGCCUUUAAACAUAUAAAGUACAGUACAUUGAAUUACAAAAGGAUCCAAGAAUAUUGAAAUAGUUACCAAAAAAAUUUGAUAUAGAAAUAUAUGUGGUUUAUUAAUGAAUAAGAUCUAGCAGUGGCCUUACUAUAAUUUCAACACAGUAGCGUGGUGAGCAUAAAUAUUUCAACUUAUCUGCAACAAUUGUAAUGUGAUAUGGAAAUAAUCAGUUUAAUUGUGACAGUCACAUUUACUGCUAACUACUGUGAUUGACUGGCUAUGUUUACAUUUUAUUAGAAGUUAUUGAAAGUAGAUGCCAGGCAUGGUGGCUCAUGCCUGUAAUCCUAGCACUUUGGGAGGCCAAAGUGGGCAGAUCAUUUGAGCCCACGAGUUCGAGACCAGCCUGGCCAACAUGAUGAAGCCCUGUCUCUACUAAAAAUAAAAAAAAAAAUUAGCCUGGCAUGGUGGCCUGCUGUAGUCCCAGCUACUCACAAGGCUGAGGCAGAAGAAUCACUUGAACCAGGGAGGCAAAGAUUGCUGUGAGCUGAGAUCACGCCACUGCACUCCAGCCUGGGCAACAGAGCCCGACCCUGUCUCAAAAUAAAAGAGAGAUGUAAUGGACCCCUUUAAUUAAUCUAUAAACUCCUAAUUAAGAACCCUGGUUAAAAUUUUUUAAUAGGAGCUUGUCUUCUUCACUGUUGUAUCCAAAGCCUGACUGAAAUCUGUAGACACCUAAGCAGUGAAAAAUUUGAUGCCUUAACCUAUAUAAUUUAAAAUCAAAAUAUUUACACUAUAAGGUGAAUUUAAGGAAGAUCUCAUUUUUCUCAUGGUGAAGACUAAGAUACUUUUUCAAAAUUACUAAAUUUUCAUUUGUUUCAUCAGGGAUGAGGUUGGGGGAGGAUCUAGCUCCUUUAUUAAUACCUGAAUAUAUAGGUUUUAAUAUCCAAGCUUGACUAUAUCCACUACACUUGGUACACAACAGAACAAAUGAAUGAACAUUUUCAUGCCUGUAAUCCUAGCACUUUGAGAAGCCAAGGCAGGAGGAUUGCUUAAGCCCAGGAGCUUGUGACCAGCUUGGACAACAUAGGGAGACCUUAUCUCGACAAUAAAUUUAAAAAUUAGCUGGUUGUGGUGGCACGUGCUGGUAGUCCUAGCUACUGGGGAGGCUAAGGUGAGAGGAUCGCUUGAGCCCAAGAGGUUGAGGCUGCAGUGAGCCAUGAUCAUGCCACUGCACUCCAACUUGGGCUACAGAGCAAGACCUUGUCUCUCAACUAAAAAUAAAAAAUAAAAUUCACGAUACUCCCCAAAAGCUGAUGAUAACAUGUAAGAAGCGACUUGAUUUUACCUUCUAACUCUCCCUCCCUUUUAGCACAAUGCUGCAAAAUGACUGGCUCAUAAACCACUAAGCUGCCUUGGCAGCCACUUGUUAUUGUUACCAGUAGGUAAUAUGCUGUUUUCUUCUGCUUGGCACAUAAGCAGUAGGCAUGAAAUAAUUGCUUAAUGGAUAAGUAAGUUGUUAAAUUAUAAAACUCUGAUGGAUUGCUUAGUCCUUUAACAAUUUACACCCCCCUCCCACUUAUCCAAUUCUUUUGUGACAGAUUUUGCACUAGCAAAGUGCACUGUUUCAGACAAUCAAGGAAAUAAAACAUUUCUUGAUGAAAUCCUACCUCGCCUCAACAGGAAACUGAAUUGGAGUCCUCAAUUCUCAGUACAUCAGAACUAGUGUGUGAAAGGAUCAGGAGAGGACCAUAGUAUUGGAGAAUAAAACAUUAUGUAUUGAUGGUUGAGCUUUAUGUCAUCGUGUAGUAAAUGCUAUGACCAUAAAGCCAUUACUGUUAACACUUAAGUUUAUCUUCUGAAAGAAGCCUAUGAAAUAUCUCCAGAAAGACUAGGGGAUUUUCUUCUGUUUGUUUGUUUGUUUGUUUGAGAUGGAGUUUGCUCUGUUGCUCAGGCUGGAGUACAGUGGUGCGAUCUCGGCUCACUGCAACCUCUGCCUCCCAGGUUCAAGUCAUUCUCCUGCCUCAGCCUCUGGAGUAGCCAGGACUACGCACUGCGCCACCACACCCAGCUAAUUUUGUAUUUUUGGUGCAGACAGGGUUUCCCCAUGUUGGCCAGGCUGGUCUUGAACUCCUGGCCUCAAGUGAUCCGCCCACCUCGGCCCAAAGUGCUGGCCACCGCGCCCAGUCAGACUUGUUUUUUAGUGAAAUAAAUUGUUUUCCUUUAGGACCUUAUUCUUUAUGAUAACAGAUUCCAAGAAUAUGCAGUCUUGUCAAUGGCUGUUUCAUCCUCAGUUUCUUUAAAAAUAAAAUACAAUUAGAACAUUUUUAGAUAUGCUAUAUCUAUCCAAUCUAUUUUCCUGUCACCCAGUAAGGUUUUCUAUCAUCAGCACAGGUCUAUGAAAGGACAGUAAAGGGUCUCCUGUUACAUACCCUAGCACUAAUGUUUGUAAUAGAAUGUUAAGAUAAGUUGUUUCAUGUAAUCGGACUACAUUCAGUCUUUCUCUACCCUCUGUCCUCUAUUUACCCACCUAUGCAUGUGGCCUACUAAUUAUAUUGACUGUACAUGACCAGCAAGUUGUAAGUUCUUUUAAAAGCAGGAGCUCAACCAUAUUUGUAUUCACAUUUCCUUCUGCUUAAAACAGGGCUCUUGUUUCUUCAGUAAAUAUUCAUUCGGUAUCCACUAGGUGUCAGAUAAUAUACAAGGUAGGUUCUAGGGAUUCCAAGAUAAAUAAACACAGAUAUGCCAAUAUGAGUCUGACAGUUUUGGCGGGGAGAGGUGGAAAAUAGAUCUGCAAGCCAAAAAAGCUACAGUAGAAUAAUAUAAAUAUUGUAAUGGCAAUAAAAUACCAGAACUAUUAAUUUUACAUUUAGUAAUCAUUCAGUAUCAAUUAAAUGGGUAAAAUGGAUAUGUUGGCAUGAAUGACAUAUAACUGAAAAAACACUAAGAACUGUAUAGAAACUGAAUUAGACAUAUGAGUAAUAUUAGUAGGAAGGGGAGAGAAUAUUUGAUUCCAGGUAGGCUACCAAGCAGGAUGUUUUUUCAGCACAGCCUUGGAAUAAAAUCUGUAACCUUUGAAAACAAUCACAUUUUUGUUCUUAUGCAAUCUUUGUUUUUAAAUGUAUUUAUUGUUUUGGCUCUAGUCCCUGAAUGUUAAAAUUUUAGUGUCAGUGUUAAUUCUCACUUAUCUUCUCCAGACCUUACUCCCUAAUUUUCUCAUUUUCAUUUGCCCCAAUAAGUGCCAACCUUACCUUGAAUAGAAUAGUGGAUUUAUCAGCUUACAAGGACUAAAAAGUCGUCAUUUCCAAAAACAUCUGUCCAAUAAGUCUGCCUCAGUGACUACAUUUCUAGCAUUACAAUGUCAUUCUUAGUACACUGAUUUGAUCUUUACAAAUUACAUAAAUGUAUAAAAUUGUCGCAUGUACCCUAAAUUAUAUACAUCUAUUAUGUAUGUAUCAAUAAAAAAAUAAUUUUCUGUGCUUUUUCUCCUGUUAAAAAGAAUUCUUUUCUUUUUGAGACAGGGCCUGGCUCUGUCACCCAGGCUGGAGUGCAGUGGUGCAAUCUUGGCUCACUGCAGCCCCUGCCUCCCAGGCUGAAGUGAUCCUCCCACCUCAGCCUCCUGAGUAGUUGGGACUACAGAUGGGUACCACCAUGCCUGGCUAAGUUUUUGUAGAGACAGGGUUUUGCCAUGUUGUCCAGGCUGGUCUCAAACUCCUGAGCUCCAGCAGUCUUCCUGGCUUGGCUUCCCAAAGCGCUGGGAUUACAGGUGUGAGCCACCACACCCAGCUGAUUCUUUAGAAGACCAGUAUUGCAUUGUGAUUGCCUCUGGGCAGGAAAACUAAGGGGCAUCAGUAGACUAUGCAAUUACUUUCUUCCUCUUUAAAAAAGUAUUGUUAAUUUUUAAAUUUACAUAUUUUGGUAUACAAUUCUAUGAGUUUUGACAAAUGCAAAGAAUCAUAUAACCACCGCCAUAAUUGAGAUACUAAACAAUUCUAUCACCUCAAAAAAAAUCCUCUUGAGCUGUCUCAUUUAUAAUUUUUGUGAUUAAAAAUGGUUAUUUUUCAAAAAGUAACGUUUGGGCCAGUGCGCCUGGAGUGCACCAGUAGUCCCAGCUACUAGGGAGGCUGAGGCAGGAGAAUUGCUUGAACCCGGGAGGUGGCGAUUGCAAUCAGCUGAGAUCACACCACUGCACUCCACCCUGUGAGUGGGCUACAGAGUGACACUCUGUCUAAAAACAAAAACAAAAAAACACUUUAAAUGUUUCAUAUAGUUAUUCCUUAUUCAAAAAGUAUGCCUUUUUGGGUUAAGACAGUGCCAUUUCAAAUAGCCUUGUAGAAAUAUAAGCAAGGAAAUGCUAAAUUAUACCAUUAUUGAUCAUUAGUACCUUAGCUUGUAGUUUAAACUGUUGAAGAGAAUUAGGACUCCACCUGGCAUUGUGGCAUAAGCCAGUAGUCCCAGCUACCCAGGAGGCUGAGGCCUGAGCUCAGGAGUUCAAGACUAGACUGAGCACAUAGCGAGAUCUUGUCUCAAAAAAUGAAAGAAAAAGAAUUAGGACUCAGAAAAGGUAAAGGGUGUGUGUGUUUGAUUAGAUAGAGGAUGGGAUUGAAGGCUUAAGGAGGAGAUUAGGGCCUGAGAUGGAACAAUGCGCAUGGAAGGAUAGAUAUGGGUAGUGUGUUCUGAGUAAUAUAAGAGACCUAGAUUCUCAAAGAUAGAGGGCACCAAAGAGAUGAGUCCUGUAGAGGGGUGACCUUCAUGUAAAAAAUGAUCUAUCUUAAUUGGGAGCUACAGACCUGGGAUUCUGUACUGAACUUAUACAGAAUAAGUAAUUUACUCUUCAAAAGUCGCUUCCCCAGCUGGGCGCAGUGGCUCAUGGCUGUAAUCCCAACACUUUGGAAGGCUGAGGCAGGUGGAUCACCUGAGGUGAAACCCCGUCUCUACUAAAAAUAAAAAAAAAGUAGCCAGGCAUGGUGGUGGGUGCCUGUAAUCCCGGCUACUCGGGAGGCUGAGGCAGGAGAAUUGCUCGAAACCAAGAGGCAGAGGUCGCAGUGAGCUGAGAUGGUGCCAUUGCACUCCAGCCUGGGCGACAAAUGCAAAAACUGCAUCUAAAGAAAAAAAAAAAAAGUCACUACGCCUUUCUGGGCCUCAAUUUCAUAAUCUGUAAAAUAGUAAGGUUGGACUGAGUAUAUACCAAGGUCCAUUUCAGAGUUCUCCAGCUAGAAGCAAAACCCUUGUGUGUAUGUGUUAGUUUUUUUCCCCUAAGGUUUUGUCCUCUAGUUUUAACUAGAGAGACACAUUUGGGAUAUUAAUAACCGAAUUCUAGCAAGCAUUAUGAUCUCUUCAGAUUUCAUGUAGUUUGAUGUCAGAAGCUGCAUAGCAAAGUUAAGCCUGAUCUGAAUUGGCUUCAAGUGGAUAGAGCUGUAUGACCCUCAGUCUUCUCAUGUAUAGAAUGACUUAUAUACUCUAAACUUCCUUGUAGUUUUCAUAUUUCAUGACUAUGAAACCUGUGAAAACUUACCAGUGUUUUUUCUAUUCAUACUUCCUUUGAGUCUGCAGCUGCUGUUCUUCUGAUUUGAUUUUUUUGUUGUUUAUUUUUAUUAGCCACUAUUCAUUCAGUACCUUUUAUAUGUCAAAACGUUUGAUAUUUAACCUACGUUAUUUAAGGGCUUUUGUACUGCUGCUGUACUUUAUAGGUGCAUAGAUAUGGUAAAAUCACACCAUGCCUCCUGCUCUGACUCUGGAUAACAUAUUCCUACAGCAGGAUCUCAUUUCAAUAAAAAUUAAAAGAAACACUAGAGAGAGGAAGAAGGGGAGAAGAUAAAUGUGGCUUUAAAUUGAUAAGUGAAAGGCAAGGAACUAACAUUUGAGGAUCUACUAUGUGUUAGACACUUUAUAACAUGGAUCUUCUUUAGAUCAUUGAGAUAAGCAGGUAGAAAGACAUCACAAAGGGAGUCUGCUUGUAUUGAUAGCAAGAAGAAAAAAAUGACUUCAUGCCAUAAAUCACUGGAAUUAUUCAGAAUUUUUGUUUUGCAUGUUAUCCUCCAUUAUGAGGACAAAGACAGCAUAAUGUCUCUAUGUAGUAAGUGUUUGGUGAAUGUUUAUUGAAUAAGUAGGGAUUUUUAUCAUGCAUAUAGUAGUGUUUCUUAAUGUUUUGGAUCCAUGGACUUAUAAAAAUUUUAUAAAAGCUAUGGCUACAUCCAGGAUGUUACCUCCCUCCCCUGCCACACACAAAAGGAAACAGCCAAGUCCCUCCCCUCACUCUAACCAUUCCCACAUCUAUAUUUGUGUAAAACCCAUGAUUUUAAACUGUUUGCAGCCCCUCUGUAAUCCAUUCACAUGACCCAAGAACUCAGCCCUGGAAACAUCUCUGGGUAUCCAGGUAGACUAAAAGCAUAGUUCCAUUAAUUUAUAGUGCUAUAUGGUUCUGCCAUGCUUUAUUGGUCCUUUAUAGACUUGAGAAAAUCACACCAUGCCUCUUGACCAUUAACAAAUGGUCAUGUUCAGUCUUCCUUUUUAUGAGUGGAAAUUCCAUCCAAUUUGCUUUUAGGUUCAUUAAUAUGUACUACAACCAAAAGAUCAGCAGCAUUAUAUACUUUAUCUUUUUUAGUCUUUUGAAGUACAAAUUAUGCGAUUUUACAGAUAAAUUAUCUCAUGGGUAGCAUAUGUCUGGCUUUCUAGGUGGAAUGAUUCCUAUUUCUUUUUGUACCUCUCCCCAUUCAGAACUCACUUUGAGGCCAAGCGUGGUUGCUCAGGCCUGUAAUCCCAGCACUUUGGGAGGCCGAGGCAGGUGGAUCACCUGAGGUCAGGAGUUGGAGACCAGCCUGGCCAACACGACAAACCCCGUCUCUACUAAAAAUACAAAAAUUAGCCUGGCAUGGUGGCACACACCUGUAAUUCCAGCUGCUCGGGAGGCUGAAGCAUGAGAAUCACUUGAACCUGGGAGGCAGAGGUUGCAGUGAGCCAAGGUUGCAGUGGAUCAAGAUCACACCACUGCACUCCAGCCUGGGCAAUAGAGUGAGACUCUGUCUCAAGAAGAAGAAAAAGAAAAAAAACUCACUUUAAACUCUGCUAGACCAUUGCCCUUGUAUGUGAAAUUUUAUCUGGAUAGAAGAAGAUGAGGAAAAAAAUUUUCUUGUCUUUUAGUGGAGGAGAAUGACAUGUAAAACAAGUAUUCUUUAAAAAUUCCAAAUAUGAUAUGAGAACUACCCCAUAAAGUUGUGAAGGUCACAUUGGUGAAAGGAAAACUAAGUGCUGUGUAAAUUACAAAGUUGUCUAAGUAUCCACCUGGUCCUUACCUUGCUAUAGAAUCUUUUUUUUUUUUAGACGGAGUCUAGCUCUGUCGCCCAGGCUGGAGUGCAGUGGCGCAAGCUCCGCUUACUGCAAGCUCCGCCUCCUGGGUUCAUGCCAUUCUCCUGCCUCAACCGCCCGAGUAGCUGGGAUUACAGGUGCCCACCACCACGCCCAGCUAAUUUUUUUUUUUUUUUUGUAUUUUUAGUAGAGACGGGGUUUUCCCAUGUUAGCCAGGAUGGUCUUGAUCUCCUGACCUCGUGAUCUGCCCACCUCGGCCUCCCAAGGUGCUGGGAUUACAGGUGUGAGCCACCACGCCCAGCCUACCUUGCUAUAGAAUCUUUAGGCCUAAUAUAGUCUAGCCAGAACAGCUAUUUGGAUGCUUGCCUAAUCUUCAAUACUGGUUUCCCUUUUAUACAUGACUGCAAAACUGACUCUCACCUAGGUUUGUGAUGUUAGAAACUCCAGUUGUUUACUAUUAUUAUUAAAGUGGGAAACGGAGUUCGUUGAUCAAAUGGAUUAAUGUUUUGAGUACUUACUAUACACCAGGGGCUCUUAAAUUUUUACAUAAACUUUCUGGAUGGAGAGUGAUAGAAUCUCCAUUGUUCACUUGCCACAAGCCACACCAUUUGUAGCUAACAUUUGAAUGCUUACUAUGAGCAAAGGCACUGUUCCAAGGGCAUUACAUGCACAUCAUUCAUAUUUCUCAUUUAAUCUUUAUAACAACUCCUUAAAAUACUGGUAGUAUUCUUGUUCCCUAAUUUGUCAAUAAGAAAACUGAAAUUUAGAGAUUAUACAAUUUGCCCAGCACUAUUGGAAAGCUGGGACUUUGAAACCUGGCUGAUUUGACUCCAAAGUCUGCACUCUAUUCCAACAGACUGCCAGUGCCUCCAGAAUUAAUUAGCAUUAAUAUUUUCUGUUGUUUAUGAUCUAAGUAUGGCUGUCCAUGGCAGGGAGUUAAUGAGGGAGGCAUUAAUGGGGAAACACUGGACCACUUCUGAGAGAUGUGGUGCCCUCCCUCACAAACAGGUUUCUUGUGGUGAAAUCAGGUUGGAAGGAUAAGAGAGGCUGAAGAAGGUGGAGGUGGUGUAGUUGGGCCUGUUUAGGAACUGAUUACAUCUGAGCCUCUGGCCCUUUUUCCUGCCAGCUGACUCAGAGCUGGCAGAUGGGCCAAAGUCCAGGCAGGUUGAUUUCAUGGGCUGUAUACUUCAAAGGAUCUGAUUCCUGGUGCUACUAAGCACAUUGCUUUUCCGAAGGCACAGUCUUGUGGGGGAGGGAACAGGAUGGUCUCCAUGAGGUGUUUGUGAAAGCCCUAGGCAAUGUUUGCUCUAAUCCAAAUAUAUACAGCUUGUUUUGAGUUUGGCAAUAAAACACAGAGCCAGCCCUAAGCAGGGCUGAAAACUGAGUAUUUAAACCUUAAGUAUUCUGCAAUACAACAACAGUUAAGUAUAUGGGUCCUAGAGUCAGAUAGAACUGAAAUCUAAUCUUGACUUCACCACUCAGCUGUAGAUAAAUUACUAGACCUCAGUUUUCUUGUUCGUGAAAUGGGGAUUUUAGUUAUAGAGUACCUACUUCAUAUGGUUGUCGUGAGGAUUAAACAAAAAUGUAUACCACAGUACCUGAGAUGUAGUAAACACUCUUGAAACAUUAGUCAUUAUUCAUUUUUUAAAUUUUUCCUUCAAAUACUUUCCUAUCCAAUAGUCAUUAUUCAUUGAAAACUUCUAUUUUAUAAGACGAUCUCAGCACUUAAACAAAAUAAAUUGAUUCAUCAUGUUUUCACUUAACAGGCAUUCAAAAGGCAUUUAUUAUUGUGUUGGGUAGAUGGAUGGAGAAAAUAGCAAUAAUUUUUGUUGAACACCUAAAAUGAGCCAAACUUUUUAAAAAAUAUUGUCUCAUUUUAUGCUCACAACAGCUCUAUGAAGUAUUUUCCUAUAUUAUAGAUGAGAUCAUGGGCCAAGAGAGGAUUAGCAACAUGCCUAAGAUCAUAUAGUCAGCACUGUCUAAUUCUGAAGCCUAUGAAUAAGGUAGCAUUUAUCCCCACGGAAGCAUGGUAUUCAGCAGGCAGGCAGACACAUAAACAAGUACAGCUGGCCCAUCUAGCCUCACGUUCUGCAUCCAUGGAUUCAACCAAAAAUGGAUUUAAAAUAUUGGGGAAAAAACAAAUAAUAAAACAACUAAAAAAUACAAAUUUUAAAAUAUAGUAUAACAACUACUUACAUAGCUUUUACAUUGUAUUAGGUAUUAUAAGUAAUGUAGAGAUGGUUUAAAGUAUACAAGAGAGUCUGGACACAGUGGCUUAUGCCUGUAAUCCCAGCUUUUUGGGAGGCCAAGGUGGGUGGAUCCCUUGAGCCCAGGAGUUUGAGACCAGCCUGAGCAACAAGAUGAAACCCUGUCUCUACAAAAAAUACAAAAAUUAGCCAGAUGUGUUGGUGCAUGCCUGUGGUCCCAGCUACUCGGGAGAGUGAGGUGGGAGAAUCACUUGAGCCUCAGAGAUCGAGGCUGCAGUAAGCUGUAAUCACGCCACUGCACUCCAGCCUGGGUGACAGAGUAAGACCCUGUCUCAAAAGUAAUAAUAAUAAUAAAGUAUACAAGAGGA
RNAcentral lists this long non-coding RNA (14074 nucleotides) under Homo sapiens (human). Its description in RNAcentral is "HSALNT0364128". Lineage: Eukaryota; Metazoa; Chordata; Mammalia; Primates; Hominidae. The record is from RNAcentral.